UAAUAACAUUUCUUCAUUACUAACAGUGUAAUAAAAAUCAAUUAAAUGUCACAUUACUUAUUGUAUAUACUGCAUUCAUGGUGCACAUUCAACUUUUCAAACAUUAUAAUUCGGCGCGUGUUUUCCUUUCUACCGAGUGGACCAGCGGAAAUGUCGAUAAAAAGAAAAGAAGGAGGAAAGCAAAGAAAACGGCGGCAAAAAUAUGAGAAACUCAAAUUUUCAAUUUGAAUUUUUAACACUGUGAUAAGGAUUCUGGCGUUAUAAUGUAAUAAAGCGUUAUGUUUUCAUUUUAUUUUAUUUCUUAAAAUUUCACCAUAGGCGGCUAACAUACGAGCCAGCUACAAAA
Long non-coding RNA from Frieseomelitta varia, 346 nucleotides. RefSeq lists it as uncharacterized. The transcript has 2 exons. NCBI's taxonomy places the organism in Eukaryota, Metazoa, Arthropoda, Insecta, Hymenoptera, Apidae. The record is from RefSeq and is a predicted model, not a curated record.